GUGCCAGCAGCCGCGGUAAUACGAAGGGGGCGAGCGUUGUUCGGAAUUACUGGGCGUAAAGGGCGCGUAGGCGGCCGAUCAAGUUAGAUGUGAAAGUCCUGGGCUCAACCUGGGGACUGCAUUUGAUACUGAUUGGCUUGAAUCCGGGAGAGGAUAGCGGAAUUCCCAGUGUAGAGGUGAAAUUCGUAGAUAUUGGGAAGAACACCAGUGGCGAAGGCGGCUAUCUGGACCGGCAUUGACGCUGAGGCGCGAAAGCGUGGGGAGCAAACAGGAUUAGAUACCCCGGUAGUCC
Molecule: ribosomal RNA, 292 nt
Filed under: uncultured bacterium
Lineage: Bacteria
Description: partial 16S ribosomal RNA
Rfam family: Bacterial small subunit ribosomal RNA
Source: RNAcentral